GCCUUCGUGGUGUAAUGGUCAGCACACUCAGCGCAUAUUCGAAAGGUCCGUGGUUCGAAUCUCGGCGAGGGCA
RNAcentral lists this transfer RNA (73 nucleotides) under Stegodyphus mimosarum. It matches the Rfam family "tRNA". Rfam says of the family: Transfer RNA (tRNA) molecules are approximately 80 nucleotides in length. Lineage: Eukaryota; Metazoa; Arthropoda; Arachnida; Araneae; Eresidae. The record is from Rfam by way of RNAcentral.